GGAGGUGUAGCUCAGUUGGUUAGAGCGCUUGCUUGACAUGCAAGAGGUCAUUGGUUCAAAUCCAAUCAUCUUCACCA
Molecule: transfer RNA, 77 nt
Filed under: Firmicutes bacterium ADurb.Bin099
Lineage: Bacteria; Bacillati; Bacillota
Also listed under: 2 other names
Description: tRNA-Val
Rfam family: tRNA
About the family: Transfer RNA (tRNA) molecules are approximately 80 nucleotides in length. Their secondary structure includes four short double-helical elements and three loops (D, anti-codon, and T loops).
Source: RNAcentral